GACGAACGCUGGCGGCGUGCUUAACACAUGCAAGUCGAACGGAAAGGCCCUGCUUUUGUGGGGUGCUCGAGUGGCGAACGGGUGAGUAACACGUGAGUAACCUUCCCUUGACUUUGGGAUAACUUCAGGAAACUGGGGCUAAUACCGGAUCGGAGCUCCUGCUGCAUGGUGGGGGUUGGAAAGUUUCGGCGGUUGGGGAUGGACUCGCGGCUUAUCAGCUUGUUGGUGGGGUAGUGGCUUACCAAGGCUUUGACGGGUAGCCGGCCUGAGAGGGUGACCGGCGACAUGGGGACUGAGAGACGGCGCAGACGCCUACGGGAGGCAGCAGUGGGGAAUAUUGCACAAUGGGCGGAAGCCUGAUGCAGCAACGCCGCGUGCGGGAUGAAGGCCUUCGGGGUGUAAACCGCUUGCGCCUGUGACGAAGCGUGAGUGACGGUAAUGGGUAAAGAAGCACCGGCUAACUACGUG
This 468-nucleotide ribosomal RNA is filed under the name uncultured bacterium. RNAcentral's name for it is "partial 16S ribosomal RNA". It matches the Rfam family "Bacterial small subunit ribosomal RNA", at positions 28 to 507 of the family's 1533-position model. The record is from RNAcentral.